This 427-nucleotide ribosomal RNA is filed under the name uncultured bacterium. Its description in RNAcentral is "partial 16S ribosomal RNA". It matches the Rfam family "Bacterial small subunit ribosomal RNA", at positions 355 to 774 of the family's 1533-position model. The record is from RNAcentral.
UGGGGAAUAUUGGACAAUGGGCGAAAGCCUGAUCCAGCCAUGCCGCGUGUGUGAAGAAGGUCUUCGGAUUGUAAAGCACUUUAAGUUGGGAGGAAGGGCAUUAACCUAAUACGUUAGUGUUUUGACGUUACCGACAGAAUAAGCACCGGCUAACUCUGUGCCAGCAGCCGCGGUAAUACAGAGGGUGCAAGCGUUAAUCGGAAUUACUGGGCGUAAAGCGCGCGUAGGUGGUUUGUUAAGUUGGAUGUGAGAUCCCCGGGCUCAACCUGGGAACUGCAUUCAAAACUGACUGACUAGAGUAUGGUAGAGGGUGGUGGAAUUUCCUGUGUAGCGGUGAAAUGCGUAGAUAUAGGAAGGAACACCAGUGGCGAAGGCGACCACCUGGACUAAUACUGACACUGAGGUGCGAAAGCGUGGGGAGCAAACA